GCGGUCAUCGUCUAGUUUGGUCUAGGACACUGGCCUUCCAUGCACUUUCAUGCGAAGAGCACUUUCAUGCGAAGAAAGCCCGUAACCCGGGUUCAAAUCCCGGUGACCGCA
Molecule: transfer RNA, 111 nt
Filed under: Candidatus Nitrososphaera gargensis Ga9.2
Lineage: Archaea; Thermoproteati; Nitrososphaerota; Nitrososphaeria; Nitrososphaerales; Nitrososphaeraceae
Description: tRNA-Gly
Rfam family: tRNA
About the family: Transfer RNA (tRNA) molecules are approximately 80 nucleotides in length. Their secondary structure includes four short double-helical elements and three loops (D, anti-codon, and T loops).
Source: RNAcentral